This is a non-coding RNA of Pelobates cultripes (western spadefoot toad), 226 nucleotides long. The record is from the annotation of a GenBank genome assembly. NCBI's taxonomy places the organism in Eukaryota, Metazoa, Chordata, Amphibia, Anura, Pelobatidae.
GGCUGAAUAGUUGCUCGUAAUUGAUUACUUUCAUGUUUAUUAGCUAAACAUUUUCAUUAACACAAACAUGUUCAUGUUAAAAUGUUUAUAAAAUUGUUUGUACAAAAUAGAGAAGUUACCCAGUUUCUCUGUAUACCUAAGAAAAUAAAACUAUGUACAGAGUGACACAUAGUUUACAGAGGUCGUGCCUAGGUAGCAUAGUGAAAAAAGCCAUAGCAUAUCCAGG